Molecule: long non-coding RNA, 1349 nt
Filed under: Ursus maritimus (polar bear)
Lineage: Eukaryota; Metazoa; Chordata; Mammalia; Carnivora; Ursidae
Description: lncRNA (ENSUMAG00000010373.1)
Source: RNAcentral
AUGCAUGUGUCCGGCUGCGCUGAGCGCCUGGCCCCGGGAAACAUCCCCGGGGAACAGGGUUUGGGAAGGCCUGUUCUGGUUGGCAUGGUCCCUCCUGGACAUUUCCUCCGUUUCCGACCAGCUGUGGAGACUGUCGCGGGGUUCUCUCUGGCUGACCUUUGCUGUGGUGGUCGCACCAGGGAAGGGCGUGAAAUCUGGCCCCGCUGGACAUUGACAGCCACCUCGCUCAGUGCCUGGCGGGAAGCACAGAAGACGUGGUGUGGUGAGCCGACAGCCCUGCGAGUCCAGCCAGGCGGACGCCCAGACUCCCUCUGCCUGAACCGUGUCCUUCCCGCUUCGACCGCUGUAGUAAACUUCAGUGUGGACCCCGGUGUUGUGUGUUUGUAUCGGGAGCGAAACAUGGGCCCCUUUGUCUUUUCGGAUUACGUUAAGCCGAGUGCUCGCCUGCCGUUCGAACUGGCAGAGCCGCUCAGCAGAGGGACCCAGGCCCAGGUGGAGGAGCUGAGACUCCGGAGCAGAACUGGCCGGGUCUACAGAUGGGCCGUCGGCGGGGUAGCACGUUUUCCCGUCUCCACGGACUGCACUCGCACCGGGUUUUAACUCCCCGAGGAACUGCUCCUUAUGCGGGGCAGGCCGCCGUGAGGCGCCCGCGCAGCUCACCGACGGGCGGGCGGGGACCAGCGGGAGGGACCGGGCCAGGCGCCACGGGCAGCAGGCAGGCCANNNNNNNNNNNNNNNNNNNNNNNNNNNNNNNNNNNNNNNNNNNNNNCUUCCCAGGGCAAGUAGAAAAUGGGGCACAAGACUGUUUAUAGGUAGUUUUCCUUCCAGUGCUGCCGGCCCACAGAUUCUGGAAGAGCUGGGCUUUGGUGGCAUCCACCGUGGCCGCAGAGCAGUGGCGGCAGGGAGCCGGUCACGAUCCACAAAGAGACCGUGGAGGAACCUAACUGCAGGUGACCAAGGGAAAGACGCCUGUCUGCAAAGGCCGCACGCUGUAUGACCCUCGCUCUAGGGGCUUCUGGAAAAGGCAGAACUGCAGAAACAGUAAGGAGACCCGUAGUCACCCGAGGACGCGCACAUGGGACUUUCGGGGCAGCGAGGCUACUUGCGUGAUCUGCACUGGUGGAUACAGGUCACCAUUUGUCCCAACCGCGCUCUGCACCCCCAAGACGUGAACCCGGCGUCGUGGGGACGAUGACGUGUCGGCGCGGUUCAUCCAUGGCCACACAUGGCCCCUGGGAGGGGAGGGUGACGGUGGGGGCAGGGGCACGUGGGAAACCUCGGCAGAUGGCCUGCGGCUUACGUGAACCCAAAGCCACUCUAAAUAAAGGCUAGUUUCUACAACGCCUCCA